This 253-nucleotide ribosomal RNA is filed under the name uncultured bacterium. RNAcentral's name for it is "partial 16S ribosomal RNA". It matches the Rfam family "Bacterial small subunit ribosomal RNA", at positions 524 to 776 of the family's 1533-position model. The record is from RNAcentral.
UACGGAGGGGGCUAGCGUUGUUCGGAAUUACUGGGCGUAAAGCGCACGUAGGCGGACUGGAAAGUCAGGGGUGAAAUCCCGGGGCUCAACCCCGGAACUGCCUUUGAAACUCCCGGUCUUGAGGUCGAGAGAGGUGAGUGGAAUUCCGAGUGUAGAGGUGAAAUUCGUAGAUAUUCGGAGGAACACCAGUGGCGAAGGCGGCUCACUGGCUCGAUACUGACGCUGAGUUGCGAAAGCGUGGGGAGCAAACUGG